GUUAGGCUUCAAUCUAUAUAACUCAUUUGGAAACUGCCACUCUGGAUCAGAAGCCUAUCAGGAAGAGCUUUUGUAUGGAAACAGAUGUCUUUCACCACUGUUAUUGGCCGCUUGUUAAUAGACCCUGUGUGUAUCAGUUCAGCAAAGGAAUGCAUCCUUUUUGUUCUCUGGUAACCACACCAUGACUGAGCAAGAAAUGGCAAUGCUGUGACUAGACAGGAGAUGCACAUGUGCUGACUGGCCAGUUAUCUUCUGCUAAAUGCAAGGUUUUGCAUUUUCUCGGACUUCAGCUGCAAAUAUCUGAAAUGUUUAAAAGAAGGCUGUUAUUCAACAUGUUCCUGCUCGUGGGCUUGAUGCAUGUUUUGCUGGCCGCUGACUGUGAAGGUGUGUAAGUGCUUUACUGGAUCAGCGCCAGCACCUUACAAGCCUGACCUCGGAGAGCUGGGAUCCCCUGCCCUGCCUCCUGAUGUGACGAUGACCUUGCUUACAUCAGAGUCGCGUGGUUGCAUGAAGGAGCGGUUCUUCAGAAACAGACAGCAUUCAGUGACACACCUAGCAACAGUCAUUCCUGCUGAAGCAGUGAAGUAAUGGACUUCUGGAGAAAAGGGGAAAAACAAGUAGGUGCUGUACACAGGAGGGAGGCCGCUGAUUACAGACCACUAAUUUGUUAUGCACUCUGGCAAAUCAGCAGUGAUUCAUAUGACAAAUAAGGAGAAAAAAUUAACAGCUGUCAUGUUGUGAUGUGUUAAUUUCCUGACAGUCUCUGCACUGAAGCCAAUUACUGAUUUAAGGGCAGGGAG
This 800-nucleotide long non-coding RNA is filed under the name Anser brachyrhynchus (Pink-footed goose). RNAcentral describes it as "lncRNA (ENSABRG00000000992.1)". The record is from RNAcentral. Lineage: Eukaryota; Metazoa; Chordata; Aves; Anseriformes; Anatidae.